Molecule: small nuclear RNA, 103 nt
Filed under: Salvator merianae (Argentine black and white tegu)
Lineage: Eukaryota; Metazoa; Chordata; Lepidosauria; Squamata; Teiidae
Source: RNAcentral
AUGCUUUGGCAGGACAGAUGNUAAAAUUGGAAUGAUACAGAGAAGCGUACCAGGGUCCCUGAGCNUCCUUGGCANGCACAUCCAUGAAAACACAANGCUUGCU